AACAUGUUGCUUAAGAGCAUGCCUAAAACAAGCUGGAUCACUAGUUCUAAAUUUGAACAUAUUUUUUAGUCAAAAAGUAAGGGAAACUUAUAAUAUUAAAUAAUAAAAUUCUAAAUAAAAUAUCUCUAAUGUGACAGCAUUAGUAUCAUAGCUGCUGCACUUUCACAAACCAUAACAAUGCAAGUUGAAAAUUUUCCAUAAUAGAAAGCAAGGCACUACAAGGUUAAUAGUCAGCCGCUGGGUAAAGCAGAAAUAAAAUCUUCAUCAUGCAAGAUCUGGGCAUAUGACAUACAUGAUGGGCACGUUAACCUCGUAGCUAUCAACAUACCAUUAAUGUGAAUGGGAAUGACAGCUAACGAUGGCAUUGACUACACACAGUAAAGUUUGCAAGUGUGGUAAGUUGAGGUAACAUUUGAAUUGUGUAUUUUGGACCUUAUUAUAGCCAUGCAAAAGCUCCCCUCUCCAGAGCAUCAUGAUGCCGUAAAGGCCAUCUUUAUAGGAAUAAAAGACAUCAAAUAAGUUGUAACCGACCAACUGAUUCAAAAAAUAAAAAAUAAAGCAGGCGCUUUCAUCAAGUAUAAGCCUGACCUUCAUGGGCUUUCCUCAAAUUAUAUUUCCAUUGGCCAUCUGAGUGGCGGAGGCUGCUUCUUCAUGAGUAUUAUAUCUUAUAAAUCCAGAACCUUUAUCUCCCUGAACUUUCACUUCCUCAAUUACCCCAGCCCCAAGAGCAUGAAAUUGACAAUGAAGCUCAGCUUGAGUUACCUCAUGGGAAAGAUUACCAACAUAGACAGUAGUGUAUGCAGGAUUGUUUUCAGGAGCAUCCUCAUUAGUAUUUUCUUGACCU
Molecule: unclassified non-coding RNA, 844 nt
Filed under: Hevea brasiliensis (rubber tree)
Lineage: Eukaryota; Viridiplantae; Streptophyta; Magnoliopsida; Malpighiales; Euphorbiaceae
Source: RNAcentral